CAGCAGCCGCGGUAAUGCGGAGGGCGCGAGCGUUACCCGGAUUUACUGGGCGUAAAGGGCGUGUAGGCGGCCUGGGGCGUCCCAUGUGAAAGGCCACGGCUCAACCGUGGAGGAGCGUGGGAUACGCUCAGGCUAGAGGGUGGGAGAGGGUGGUGGAAUUCCCGGAGUAGCGGUGAAAUGCGCAGAUACCGGGAGGAACGCCGAUGGCGAAGGCAGCCACCUGGUCCACUUCUGACGCUGAGGCGCGAAAGCGUGGGGAGCAAACCGGAUUAGAUACCCGGGUAGUCCCUGUCUCUUAUAC
Molecule: ribosomal RNA, 301 nt
Filed under: uncultured bacterium
Lineage: Bacteria
Description: partial 16S ribosomal RNA
Rfam family: Bacterial small subunit ribosomal RNA
Source: RNAcentral